UACGGAGGGGGCAAGCGUUGUUCGGAAUUACUGGGCGUAAAGCGCGCGUAGGCGGCGAUGCAAGUCAGAGGUGAAAUGCCCGGGCUCAACCUGGGAGGUGCCUUUGAUACUGUGUUGCUUGGAUCCAGGAGAGGUGAGCGAAUUCCGAGUGUAGAGGUGAAUUCGUAGAUAUUCGGAAGAACACCAGUGGCGAAGGCGGCACUCUGGACCAAUACUGACACUGAGGUGCGAAAGCGUGGGGAGCAAACAGGAUUAGAUACCCGCGUAGUCC
Molecule: ribosomal RNA, 271 nt
Filed under: uncultured bacterium
Lineage: Bacteria
Description: partial 16S ribosomal RNA
Rfam family: Bacterial small subunit ribosomal RNA
Source: RNAcentral